Molecule: long non-coding RNA, 1644 nt
Organism: Pristis pectinata (smalltooth sawfish)
Lineage: Eukaryota; Metazoa; Chordata; Chondrichthyes; Rhinopristiformes; Pristidae
Exons: 4
Source: RefSeq, a predicted model, not a curated record
GUGAGAACCUGAAUUAUGAAUGGAGAGAAAUCAAGAUCUUUUGACAUUAGAUUACAGUAUGUACUCAGGAAUUGCUUCAUGUUGGAACUGAAUACCAACAGAACAUUGCAGUGAAAGAAACCUGUGCAGCCUGUUGACGAUCCCUAUGGCACAAAUGCUGAAAUUGUUUUUGGGGAUUUCUCUGUCCCACUGGUAGACUUAUAUCCUGAAAGCACCAGUCCAGAAGCAACAAUAUAUGGAGUUCCUGAAAUUGGAGAACAUAAUUCUGUUUCUUUGGUUGGACUUGUGCAAUAGAAUGCAUUCCAUGUGUCAUUGAAAGCUUUUCUGUCCGAUGACAAGAUGCUUCUACCAAGAAAUUAUGCUUCCAGUGCAAUGGAUAUGUUACAUAGAUUUUUUUAAAAAGUUCUUUUAAAUGUAGUUAAAUUUUGUUACAUGAUUGUUCUUAUUUAAUUUUAGAAAUGGUGCUUUUCCUUUAUGAUUUAUUGUAAACUCAAAGGAUUUUUAAAAAAAUGUUUUAUAGCUGGAUAUUCUUUAUAUUUAGUUUCAGCAAAAUAUCCUUAUGAAACUUCUAAAUUAUCAAAGCUUGCAUCAUAAGUAAGAGAUGCUGUACAAUGGAGUAGAGAGUGUGAAGAAGAGAAAUUCACUUACUCUUCACUGCAGCUUUUAUACAUUGGAGUGGCAGUAAUUUGAAACUGACCCUCUUGCGGAGGCGACAGAGGUGGAAAAUGGCGAAUCAUCACUGGGCCCUGACAGCCUUCCAAGUCUUGCUCAAAAAGGAGUAACAGUUCAGCACAAUAUACAUUCCUCCCAAGAAUGGCAGGAAAUGCCAGGUCUGGAAUGCCCAAGGAGGAUAUAAAGGGAACCUUGAAGGAAAUAAUAAGUGUGAUAUAUCUUCAAAAGAAAACCAAUGAUAUUGUUGUAGCAAAUUUUCUGCAAUCCAUGUUACUGGAACUUCACUGCAAUUCCAGUGAUAUCUCUCCUAAGUGACUAUUGAUUUGUGUAUGACUGAAUGUAGCAUUAGUGGUUCUUCAGGAAAAUAACAUCCAUUUCAACUGAGAGUCAGAACACAAGAAUGUAACAGAUAGAAGCCAGUUGAGCUCAUUCUGCCCCUUGUGCCUGCUGUACCAUUUAAUAAGUUUGUGUCUCAUCUUUUACCUCAGUCCUACUUUCCCUAUAUCUCAUAGUUCCCUUAUAUCCACAAAUCCAUCAGUCUCUGCCUUGAAUGUACUCAGUGACUGAGCCUGAACAAACUUCUUGGUGACAGAAUUCCAAGGAUUCACUACCCUCUGGAUGAAGGAAUUUCUUCUUGUUUCAGUCCUGAUUGGCUAUCUCUUUAUUGUUACACUGUGACACCAGUUCCAGACACACUGCCGGGGGAAACAUUGUUGGAUCUACCCUGCCAAGCCCAGUAAGAAUUUUGGGUAUUUCAAUGAGAUCACCUCUCAAGCCUCUUAAUUAAGUAUAGCCCAGACUACUUAGACCCUCCUCAUCAAACAGCCCCACCCCUCCUGUUCCAGAAUCAACUUGGUGAACUUUCAUUACACUGUCCCAAGAAAAUCCUUGCUCAAGUAGGGAGAAUGUCCCUAAAAGCAAUGCUCCGGUGCAGUUUCACCAGAAUCCCCAUGUAGUUGCAAUAAGAUUACU